UUGUAUUUUUUUAGAGCAGAACGUCAUUCGGAAGUGUAGAUACUUACUCUGCAGAUUUUGUCUGCAUAUAACUGUCUCUGUGAGUCAGGUUUAGAGACUUUACUUCUACACUGCAGGAACAAAGCCUGACAAAUAGUAGACCUCUUAGAAGAUCUCUGGAAAACAAGAAGGGUACUUCCACCAUGGGUGGACAUAACGCUGACAGCCGGUUGGAGUUUCAGUAAUGGGAAGUUCCCUGCCAUGAUUUCACAGUGCAUAGCUACAACUCCAGAAAAAAGUAAGGAAAAUAACCAAACAAGGAAACUGACCACGUGGAUAGCCAUUCAAUCCUCACCAGCUGCUAUCAAUGUUCUGUCUACUUUUCUAACGUAAUGGCUAUAUAGUUGUUCUGGAUAGGCGAAAUUACAUAUAUAACAUAAGUUUACUGAUGGUGUGAUAAACAAGCUGAGGGCAAAAGGCAUAUCGGCAAACCAUGGCCAGCAAGUGCACAGAAAAUCUUAGCAGUAAGGGAAACGCAUGCUGAGAGAUUGGAGAGACUCAGAGAAG
Protopterus annectens (West African lungfish) is the source of this 546-nucleotide long non-coding RNA. RefSeq lists it as uncharacterized. The record is from RefSeq and is a predicted model, not a curated record. The transcript is spliced from 4 exons. Lineage: Eukaryota; Metazoa; Chordata; Ceratodontiformes; Protopteridae.